Molecule: ribosomal RNA, 264 nt
Filed under: uncultured bacterium
Lineage: Bacteria
Description: partial 16S ribosomal RNA
Rfam family: Bacterial small subunit ribosomal RNA
Source: RNAcentral
GUCCACGCCCUAAACCAUGUCAACUAGUUGUCGGGAGAGCAAUCUCUUGGUAACGCAGCUAACGCGUGAAGUUGACCGCCUGGGGAGUACGGUCGCAAGAUUAAAACUCAAAGGAAUUGACGGGGACCCGCACAAGCGGUGGAUUAUGUGGAUUAAUUCGAUGCAACGCGAAAACCUUACCUACCCUUGACAUGUACCGAACCCCGAUGAGAGUCGGGGGUGCCCCGAAAGGGAGCGGUAACACAGGUGCUGCAUGGCUGUCGU